Molecule: ribosomal RNA, 745 nt
Filed under: Clostridium botulinum
Lineage: Bacteria; Bacillati; Bacillota; Clostridia; Eubacteriales; Clostridiaceae
Description: bacterial SSU rRNA
Rfam family: Bacterial small subunit ribosomal RNA
Source: RNAcentral
CCACGCCGUAAACGAUGGAUACUAGGUGUAGGGGGUAUCAACUCCCCCUGUGCCGCAGUUAACACAAUAAGUAUCCCGCCUGGGGAGUACGGUCGCAAGAUUAAAACUCAAAGGAAUUGACGGGGGCCCGCACAAGCAGCGGAGCAUGUGGUUUAAUUCGAAGCAACGCGAAGAACCUUACCUGGACUUGACAUCCCUUGCAUAGCCUAGAGAUAGGUGAAGCCCUUCGGGGCAAGGAGACAGGUGGUGCAUGGUUGUCGUCAGCUCGUGUCGUGAGAUGUUAGGUUAAGUCCUGCAACGAGCGCAACCCUUGUUAUUAGUUGCUACCAUUAAGUUGAGCACUCUAAUGAGACUGCCUGGGUAACCAGGAGGAAGGUGGGGAUGACGUCAAAUCAUCAUGCCCCUUAUGUCCAGGGCUACACACGUGCUACAAUGGUAGGUACAAUAAGACGCAAGACCGUGAGGUGGAGCAAAACUUAUAAAACCUAUCUCAGUUCGGAUUGUAGGCUGCAACUCGCCUACAUGAAGCUGGAGUUGCUAGUAAUCGCGAAUCAGAAUGUCGCGGUGAAUACGUUCCCGGGCCUUGUACACACCGCCCGUCACACCAUGAGAGCUGGUAACACCCGAAGUCCGUGAGGUAACCGUAAGGAGCCAGCGGCCGAAGGUGGGAUUAGUGAUUGGGGUGAAGUCGUAACAAGGUAGCCGUAGGAGAACCUGCGGCUGGAUCACCUCCUUUCUAAGGAGA